UACGAAGGGAGCUAGCGUUACUCGGAAUCACUGGGCGUAAAGCGUAUGUAGGCGGAAAUACAAGUCAGAGGUGAAAGCCCUGGGCUCAACCCAGGAAUUGCCUUUGAAACUGUAUUUCUUGAGUGUGGUAGAGGAUGGUGGAAUUUCCAGUGUAGAGGUGAAAUUCGUAGAUAUUGGAAAGAACACCGGUGGCGAAGGCGGCCAUCUGGGCCACUACUGACGCUGAGAUACGAAAGCGUGGGGAGCAAACGGG
Molecule: ribosomal RNA, 253 nt
Filed under: uncultured bacterium
Lineage: Bacteria
Description: partial 16S ribosomal RNA
Rfam family: Bacterial small subunit ribosomal RNA
Source: RNAcentral